Ciona intestinalis (vase tunicate) is the source of this 828-nucleotide long non-coding RNA. RefSeq lists it as uncharacterized. NCBI's taxonomy places the organism in Eukaryota, Metazoa, Chordata, Ascidiacea, Phlebobranchia, Cionidae. The record is from RefSeq and is a predicted model, not a curated record.
CAAUGCACUGCGGUUUUGUAAGUACGGUACGAAGCUGCUUUAAAAAGGCGGCGGUUUGUUAGCUCUGGAAACAAGAGCCAAGCGAAGCUGUGAGCGCUGUAGAUAAAUGAGCACUUAAUGGAAUAAAGUUCUUUGCAGCUUAUGUAACGUAUAGUACAGUGGAAAUAGACUUAUGUCUGUUAACGUUCAGAUGGAAUCGUUGCUUCACAAACAACACAAGGAAUUAGUCAAACGUCAUACUGUCUUAGAAGAGGAAAUGUCACGAAUUUGUGAAAACGACAGAAGUUUGGAAAAAGUUCCAGAUUCAUCAACAGCACAUGAACGUAACAUCGAAAUAUGGAGGAGAUGCACAAAUGCUUACUCUCAAAUUAAUAAGAAUAAAGCUUUCAUCGAGUUAAGUAACCACAAAAGCUUAAAAGAAAAAUAUGAAAAGAUGGUGCGCUCACAACAAACAAAGAAACCUGUUUGAUGAAUGAUCAUCAUGUUGCAAGGGCUUACUGAGAUUACCCAUACUGCAAUAUGUUUCGUUUUACUUUACCAAUCAAAGUAAAAAUGGUCAAUUUAAGUUGGCAAUACAUGUCACUGCAUUUGUACUACUUCAUAGUUUCAUACACUGGGUUGUUUUGUCUGAUUUUAAUGUGUGGAACAUUUAUGCUAGCCAUAAAGAAUACUCCAAAAAUACACAAUUAUUGAGUUGGCAUGAGUUAAAACAUACAAAGAAAACAUUAAGGAGGUGUUUGGGAGAAACAUCAAGAGAAUGGGCUGAAGAUGUGACUGUAAUAGAUCCCCAAAAAUCAUAUUUUUUACAUUUGUGAUGAAAAUGGCAAA